ACAGAGGUCUCAAGCGUUGGUCGGAUUCAUUGGGCGUAAAGGGUGCGUAGGUGGCGAGGUAAGUUGGAUGUGAAAUCCCGGGGCUCAACCCCGGAACUGCAUUCAAUACUGCCUUGCUAGAGUACUGGAGAGGAGAUUGGAAUUUACGGUGUAGCAGUGAAAUGCGUAGAUAUCGUAAGGAAGACCAGUGGCGAAGGCGGAUCUCUGGACAGUUACUGACACUGAGGCACGAAGGCCAGGGGAGCAAACGGG
Molecule: ribosomal RNA, 252 nt
Filed under: uncultured bacterium
Lineage: Bacteria
Description: partial 16S ribosomal RNA
Rfam family: Bacterial small subunit ribosomal RNA
Source: RNAcentral